This 301-nucleotide ribosomal RNA is filed under the name uncultured bacterium. RNAcentral describes it as "partial 16S ribosomal RNA". It matches the Rfam family "Bacterial small subunit ribosomal RNA", at positions 509 to 808 of the family's 1533-position model. The record is from RNAcentral.
CAGUAGCCGCGGGAAUACGUAGGGUGCAAGCGUUGUCCGGAAUUAUUGGGCGUAAAGAGCUCGUAGGCGGUUUGUCGCGUCUGCUGUGAAAUCCCGAGGCUCAACCUCGGGCUUGCAGUGGGUACGGGCAGACUAGAGUGCGGUAGGGGAGAUUGGAAUUCCUGGUGUAGCGGUGGAAUGCGCAGAUAUCAGGAGGAACACCGAUGGCGAAGGCAGAUCUCUGGGCCGUAACUGACGCUGAGGAGCGAAAGCGUGGGGAGCGAACAGGAUUAGAUACCCGGUAGUCCCUGUCUCUUAUACA